GAGUUUGAUCGUGGCUCAGGAUGAACGCUGGCGGCGUGCUUAACACAUGCAAGUCGAACGAACCUUCGGGUUAGUGGCGGACGGGUGAGUAACGCGUGAGAAUCUGCCCUCAGGAGGGGGAUAACGGUUGGAAACGACCGCUAAUACCCCAUAUGCCUACUGGUGAAAUGAAUUUCGCCUGAGGAUGAGCUCGCGUCUGAUUAGCUAGUUGGUGAGGUAAUGGCUCACCAAGGCUUCGAUCAGUAGCUGGUCUGAGAGGAUGAUCAGCCACACUGGGACUGAGACACGGCCCAGACUCCUACGGGAGGCAGCAGUGGGGAAUUUUCCGCAAUGGGCGAAAGCCUGACGGAGCAACGCCGCGUGAGGGACGAAGGCCUCUGGGCUGUAAACCUCUUUUCUCAAGGAAGAAGAUAUGACGGUACUUGAGGAAUAAGCCACGGCUAAUUCCGUGCCAGC
Molecule: ribosomal RNA, 456 nt
Filed under: uncultured Prochlorococcus sp.
Lineage: Bacteria; Bacillati; Cyanobacteriota; Cyanophyceae; Synechococcales; Prochlorococcaceae
Description: bacterial SSU rRNA
Rfam family: Bacterial small subunit ribosomal RNA
Source: RNAcentral